UACGGGGGGGGCAAGCGUUGUUCGGAAUUACUGGGCGUAAAGGGCUUGUAGGUGGCUUGUUAAGUCAGACGUGAAAUCCCUCAGCUUAACUGGGGAACUGCGUCUGAGACUGGUGAGCUUGAGUGCAGGAGAGGAACGCGGAAUUCCAGGUGUAGCGGUGAAAUGCGCAGAUAUCAGGAGGAACACCCGUAGCGAAGGCGGCACUCUGGGCCGAUACUGACACUGAGGAGCGAAAGCGUGGGGAGCGAACAGG
RNAcentral lists this ribosomal RNA (253 nucleotides) under uncultured bacterium. RNAcentral's name for it is "partial 16S ribosomal RNA". It matches the Rfam family "Bacterial small subunit ribosomal RNA", at positions 524 to 776 of the family's 1533-position model. The record is from RNAcentral.